AUGUUCUGAAGGUGCCAUCAUUUGAGAUAGACGCUAUGUACUUCCACAUACCUCAGAGAAUGAGUUGGAUAAGUAACAAAGUAGACAAUGUCUGGGGCAAGUAUAUCCUCCUCCUCGUCAGUCCAGUGUGGCCGUUCCUGGCUGAUCUCUCAAAAGGAAAAACACUGUACCUUCUCUGGGAUGCUAAAAGCUGAGAAUGAAUAAAUGACUGAGAAAGAAAGCCAGCAACGGAAGACAACGGCAGUACAAUGGAUGUGGUAAUAAACCAAAUCGGUAGUUUCGGCGAGAGCAGAGUUAAUGACUCCUAGAGGCUCCAUUUUUACAGUCAGUGCCAAGAGGACAAAAAGAGAACCACCAAAGGGAGACCGGCCUGGAGUACACACCAGAUUCCAGAUUAGCCAGAUCAGCGUAAUGACACCCUGUCUCAAAAACAGCUAAAAAGUUAGGAGAGGCUUCCUGUACUAUGGAGAGCUGUUGCGCCUGGACUGAGAGGUGGGAAGUAGCGAAGGAAGAAGACGUGAGGAGAAAGAGGAAGGAGUGAAAGUGGUAGCUGAGAAAACAGAACAGAACAAAACAAAACUCUAUGUACCAGCCUCGCAGCCUACGAGCGAGCGCUCUGUCUCCGCACUCCUGCCUGACCCGCAUCUAUUUUUACACAUCUGCGGAGCUUGUUUUCCCCGCCUCUGGUUUAUGCUAUCCACGGAGAACUGCUGGUACUUGAGUUCAUUGUCUCUCCCCUGCUGGAUGCUCCGUGGCAGAGGCUCCCUGUGACCAUCUGAUGGCUCCCCCUUGCAGAAGGCCACCUGCCCAUCAUAGACAAGUGUCAGAACUGGGUUUUCUUCAACAACAGACAUUUGUUAGGCUUAGUAGUUUUCAUUAAGUCUAUUGUUUCUCAUUAUUUUCAAAUUUAAAUGUUGGUUCAUUUUG
Molecule: long non-coding RNA, 927 nt
Filed under: Mus pahari (shrew mouse)
Lineage: Eukaryota; Metazoa; Chordata; Mammalia; Rodentia; Muridae
Description: RIKEN cDNA 4930579M01 gene (MGP_PahariEiJ_G0002855.1)
Source: RNAcentral